RNAcentral lists this ribosomal RNA (324 nucleotides) under uncultured bacterium. RNAcentral's name for it is "bacterial SSU rRNA". It matches the Rfam family "Bacterial small subunit ribosomal RNA", at positions 28 to 337 of the family's 1533-position model. The record is from RNAcentral.
GACGAACGCUGGCGGCGUGCUUAACACAUGCAAGUCGAGCGAGAAAGGGGGCGUUCGGCCUCCGAGUACAGCGGCGAACGGGUGCGUAACACGUGGGUGAUCUGUCCUCAAGACGGGGAUAACCCAGCGAAAGUUGGGCUAAUACCGGAUAAGACCACAAGAGGAAACUCUCGGGGUCAAAGGUGCUUCCUUUUGGGAGCAUUCGCUAGAGGAGGAGCCCGCGACCUAUCAGCUUGUUGGUAGGGAACGGCCUACCAAGGCAAAGACGGGUAGCUGGUCUGAGAGGAUGACCAGCCACACGGGGACUGAGAUACGGCCCCGACU